This 226-nucleotide ribosomal RNA is filed under the name uncultured bacterium. RNAcentral's name for it is "partial 16S ribosomal RNA". It matches the Rfam family "Bacterial small subunit ribosomal RNA", at positions 109 to 334 of the family's 1533-position model. The record is from RNAcentral.
AGUAACGCGUGGGUAACCGUGCCUCGCACAGGGGGAUAGCAGUUGGAAACGACUGAUAAUACCGCAUAAGCGCACAGUACCGCAUGGUACAGUGUGAAAAACUCCGGUGGUGUGAGAUGGACCCGCGUCUGAUUAGCUUGUUGGCGGGGUAACGGCCCACCAAGGCAACGAUCAGUAGCCGACCUGAGAGGGUGACCGGCCACAUUGGGACUGAGACACGGCCCAG